UCCUCCCUCUUUCCUCGUGCUUAACACAUGCAAGUCGAACGGAAAGGCCCUGCUUGCAGGGUACUCGAGUGGCGAACGGGUGAGUAACACGUGGGUGAUCUGCCCUGCACUUCGGGAUAAGCCUGGGAAACUGGGUCUAAUACCGGAUAGGAGCCAUUUUUAGUGUGAUGGUUGGAAAGUUUUUUCGGUGUAGGAUGAGCUCGCGGCCUAUCAGCUUGUUGGUGGGGUGAUGGCCUACCAAGGCGGCGACGGGUAGCCGGCCUGAGAGGGUGGACGGCCACAUUGGGACUGAGAUACGGCCCAGACUCCUACGGGAGGCAGCAGUGGGGAAUAUUGCACAAUGGGCGCAAGCCUGAUGCAGCGACGCCGCGUGGGGGAUGACGGCCUUCGGGUUGUAAACUCCUUUCGCUAGGGACGAAGCUUUUUGUGACGGUACCUAGAUAAGAAGCACCGGCUAACUACGUG
Molecule: ribosomal RNA, 465 nt
Filed under: uncultured bacterium
Lineage: Bacteria
Description: partial 16S ribosomal RNA
Rfam family: Bacterial small subunit ribosomal RNA
Source: RNAcentral